Molecule: small nuclear RNA, 18 nt
Filed under: Arabidopsis thaliana (thale cress)
Lineage: Eukaryota; Viridiplantae; Streptophyta; Magnoliopsida; Brassicales; Brassicaceae
Description: snRNA_06801
Source: RNAcentral
AUACUGACGUGCAAAUCG